RNAcentral lists this long non-coding RNA (747 nucleotides) under Arabidopsis lyrata. RNAcentral's name for it is "long non-coding RNA (ALYR_LNC000883)". The record is from RNAcentral. Lineage: Eukaryota; Viridiplantae; Streptophyta; Magnoliopsida; Brassicales; Brassicaceae.
UGAAGCAGUUUUUAAAGAAAAGAUCCCAGGCUCAGAAGCUUCUUGUUCCACAACAGAAACGGUUCCACACAACAAAACCUUCCCUGAAGAACCUUUUGCCAUGGAAAAUUCCUUGAAUGAAGCAGUUUUUGAUGAAAAGAUCUCAGGCUCAGAAGCUUCUAGUUCCACUACAGAAACUAAUCCACACAACAAAACCUUCACUGAAGAACCUUUUGCCACGGAAAAUUCCUUGAACGAAGCAGAUUUUGAUGAAAAGAUCCCUGGUUCAGAAGCUCCUGGUUCUGCAACCGAAACUGGUCCACACAACAAAUCAUUCCUUGAAGAACCUGUUGCCAGAGAUAUUUCCUUGAACGAAGCAGUUUUUGAUGAAAAGAUCCCAGGCUCAGAAGCUUCUUGUUCCACAAGAGAAACUGUUCCACACAACGAAACCUUCCCUGGAGAACCUGUUGCCACGGAUCUUUCCUUGGUCAAAGCUGUUUUUGAUGAAAGGAUCCCAGGCUCAGAAGAUUCUAGUUCCUCAAUAGAAACCGGUCUACACAACAAAACCUUCCCUGGAGAACCUGUUGCCACGGAGCUGUCCUUGACCGAAGCUGGUUUUGAUGAAAAGAUCCCCGGCUCAGGAGCUCCUAGUUCCACAACAGAAACUGGUUCACACAACAAAACUUUCUCUGAAGAACCUGUUCCCAACGAAAAUAUUCUGCCAAAAGAACCUGCUGCUGCAUAUCUGGCUUUGGCUGAAGGUAUUCC